GAUGCCAGCUAGCGAUCCGCCAAAGUUCCUCCGAUGACUUGGUGGGCAGCUUCCGGGAAACCAAAGCAUUUGGGUUCCGGGGGAAGUAUGGUUGCAAAGCUGAAACUUAAAGGAAUUGACGGAAGGGCACCACCAGGAGUGGAGCCUGCGGUUAAAUUUGACUCAACACGGGAAACCUCACCAGGCCCGGACACCGGAAGAAUUGACAGAUUGAGAGCUCUUUCUUGAUUCGGUGGGUGGUGGUGCAUGGCCGUUCUUAGUUGGUGGAGCGAUUUGUCUGGUUAAUUCCGAUAACGAACGAGACUCUAGCCUACUAAAUAGACGUACUUUAUUACCGGCAUCUCAAGGCCCAU
RNAcentral lists this ribosomal RNA (353 nucleotides) under Myrmeleon inconspicuus. RNAcentral's name for it is "SSU rRNA". It matches the Rfam family "Eukaryotic small subunit ribosomal RNA", at positions 1038 to 1390 of the family's 1831-position model. Lineage: Eukaryota; Metazoa; Arthropoda; Insecta; Neuroptera; Myrmeleontidae. The record is from RNAcentral.